ACCGACGUAGUCUAAAGGUUAAAACGGAGGGCCUUCAUCCCUAGGUUCGGGGUUCGAUUCCCCGGGUCGGUA
Molecule: non-coding RNA, 72 nt
Organism: Tritrichomonas musculus
Lineage: Eukaryota; Parabasalia; Tritrichomonadida; Tritrichomonadidae
Source: the annotation of a GenBank genome assembly